Hordeum vulgare subsp. vulgare (domesticated barley) is the source of this 1970-nucleotide long non-coding RNA. RefSeq lists it as uncharacterized. Lineage: Eukaryota; Viridiplantae; Streptophyta; Magnoliopsida; Poales; Poaceae. The transcript is spliced from 6 exons. The record is from RefSeq and is a predicted model, not a curated record.
UCUUCUCCCUCCCAUCCCAUGUCCCCGACGGAAGCUCAGAAAAAAUGUCCUGGACGGAACACGACGGCCGCCACGGCCGGAGAGAGUCCGGCGAGCGGCAGCGGCGUCGGUGGGCGGUCCUAGGAGAUGGGGACGGCCGCUGAAAUCCCGAAGACGCCUCCAUCCCUCGCGGCCCUCCUCGUCGCUCAUGGCGUCGACGGCACGUACCUCCAUCGGUUCGGGAAUGGCAGCAGCUAGUCGAGGGAGAAGAUGGCUGACGAAGUGUAUGGGUCAGGGCCGACCCCGUCCGCCGGAGGAUCUGCCGCUGCGUCCUGCUGUCGCCUUCUUCUUCUGGAAGGCAGCUUCAGUACGCACAUGGAGGCUGUGGGCGUAAGGUGCUCGAGGAAAUGCCUCUUGCAAAUCCUCGCCGCCGGCGGUACCAUCCCCUGGGUAAUGGCAGAGGAAGUGGUUGACUUGACUUCUUCCUGUGGAUUUCCAUGGUCUGGUGCUGGGCUUCGGUCCGUUGCUGGACGUUCUUUCAACCCGGAGACCGUCCGGCUCUAUCAGAUCAUGCAUGAAGCAGGCGUGUUUCACCUUGAUUAAGCAACUCAAACACCAAAUCAUCCAGAGCUACUGGUCGAUGCCUAUCGUUUUUGCGCCUGCAGCAACAAUCGCCAUCAUCGGCGUGUCCGCCACCGACUCAAUCUGCAUCCCCAGGAUCGGUAAUGCUCCCCCUCUCAACACUCAGCCAAUUUCCCAUACAAGGAUUGGAGAAUGCUGUGAACUUCAGUAAGGACUGUACGACCACACCAUGUCAGGGGGGAAGAUAAACCACACGGACCACAGUUCAGUAAGAGCUCUGGGCGGGGAAUGCAAUUAGGGACGAUAGAAUCACCAAGGUUUUGGGACAGGAUUACGGUCGGGAUUUGCGGCUUGCGGGGUGGUUAUGCAGUUCUUAAUGGCUUGAAGUACACUUCCUCUCACGUGUGGGUCAAGAACGACAUCUCCGUGGCCACAAUUGGCAUCAGUGACCACACCCAGGUUAAAAAAAUUAUCACGCCGUUUUUACCUAUUAGAAAUAUUUCUCAAAUAUGAUGCAAAUUUACCUAUUCUGUACCUGGACGGCUGGGUGAUUUUCUAACUGAUUGCCCCAGAUGAUAUUUUCCCGUAGUUUUUCAACAUUCAAAGUCAUUGACCAUCAUCGAGGUAUCUAACAGAGGACCUGCUAAUGUCGUUGAGACAUAUUUUCUACUUUUUCGUGUAUGCUCCUGUAUCACAUACAUUUUUCAUAUCUAUGAACAUGUGCGCCCAUAUGCUUAAGUUACUUGGAACUUUACAUGCUAAAACCAUAUCCUCCUGUCCCCGCAAAAACUAAAUAAAUAAAACCAUAUCCUCUUUGUGUGUAAUUUUCUUGAAAUGAUAAGCCCAUCAUGCUAGGGUUCAUGGUAAAUACUUCCUCUGUUUCAAAUUAUAGGAUGUUUAGGUAGGUUAAAAUGGCCUAACAAAACGUCUUAUAAUUUGGGACGGACGUAGUAGUACAUCGUCAUGCCUGCUAGAGACAAGCAUAGUGCAUUAUAUUGUCCAGUGAAAUUUGUAGUCCAAUUUCAACCAAUUGUAUUUUUAUUUGCAGGAACUGAAUGAUAAUGUUGCAAAUCAUAUGUGUGAGCAUGGAACAAUGCAACAAUGCUAUUCACUUAUCGUCCAGGAAGUUUGGAUAGCAUCCUAUUUCCUCACGGAGUUGCAGAGAUCUAAAGGAUAUGGUUUCAAGUACAUGUGACACCGGAGAAGAUGAGCUAUGAGGAAUUUGGACCGGUGUACCAACAAGCACCAUCAUGAGGCAAAGAGUUGCACAUUCGGAUAAGCCGGAGUUAGUCGUACAAUAAAAUGGUAGAUAUGUCAUUGGAUUAGAUAACAAUAAAUAUUAAGAUCUUAGGUAUUUUCCGCAACAACCUUUAUUCAUAUAAAUAAAGAGUAACUCCGUUUUGUUUUUU